Molecule: long non-coding RNA, 1111 nt
Organism: Astatotilapia calliptera (eastern happy)
Lineage: Eukaryota; Metazoa; Chordata; Actinopteri; Cichliformes; Cichlidae
Source: Ensembl
CAUUUACUGCACGAUAUUUAUUUUUGGGUAACAGCAGAUCAUCUGCCUCCACCUCCUCCUAUCCCAGCAUCCGACCCUCUGCAUGUCCUCCUCCUCUACAUCCACGAACCUCCUCUGAGCUCUUCUUCUCCUCCUGCCUGGCAGCUCCAUCUUCAUCCUCCUUUGUCCAACAUUUCCACCCUCCCUCCUCUGCACGUCCAAACCCUCUCAGCCUCUCCUCUCUGAGCUCUCCCUCUGAUGGACUCAUUUCUGAUCCAUGUGGCUCACUCCCAGUGAACAUCUUCAGCUCAGCUCCACCAUCUCUCAACCAUCACAGCAGCUCUCACUACCAUUUUGUAAUCCUUCCUUUUCACUCUGGCUGCCAUCCUUGUGUCGCAAUUCCCCCCGGAUACUUGUCUCCAUGCACCCUGCCUGCACGCUCAUCUUCACCUCUCUGUGACUGUCCAUGGCUCUGGAUGAUCUGGAUGAUGACCUUCACUUCGUUGCUCCUUGCAUCUCCACCGGUUUCAUUCAUACACUACAGCGUCGUCUGCAAACAUCAUCAUCCACAGAGACUUCGUCUGUCAGUCCUUUUUUUAUUUCUAUUGGCCAAAAUCAUUUUUUAUUAUUGUUUCAGUUCAGUUUAAUAAAUUGUUUUCAUAUUUGCAUAAUUUCUUUUAAAGGAAUAUUUUUUUUCUUCACAUUAACUUUAUUUUCUUGUUGUUGUUUUUGAUAAAAUCUUACAAUUAUUAGCAUAGUGUCAGCUAUUACAGGAUGGGUCUGUCUGUUUAGGUGGUAGAAAGGAUCGUAUAUUUCUAUUCAUGAGUGCAAAAAGAACCAAGAAUCUAAAGGUUGGCCAGUUUCUAAUAAUGAGCUCGGUUAUGAACGGAGCCAAAAGCUCCGACUGCUCGAAACUCCGACCACGAGUGCCGUCAGUCAAAGCAGGUCCCAUUACUACGGUCACUCAGAAGCUCCACCCACCUGCUAUUCAAAUCUUCUGCUUAUAAGGCCCAGCCAAUCAGAAGACAGUUUUAAACAGUUCGUUUCAGACAAUGACCUGAGAAGGCCCCACGAGGCCCCACGAGGCCACACAGGGCCACACGAGGCCCCACGAGGCCCCACGAGGCCACAC